This 1350-nucleotide unclassified non-coding RNA is filed under the name Leishmania donovani. Its description in RNAcentral is "gene:unknown". Lineage: Eukaryota; Euglenozoa; Kinetoplastea; Trypanosomatida; Trypanosomatidae. The record is from RNAcentral.
AACACGACGAGACAUUAUCUCACCGUCACGCCAACGAUACUGCCACUAGAUCGCCGUACGCACCCACCCACCGAGCGUCCUCCUUACCACCACUUGACCAUCACCCACUGCGACACCACCGACUCAUUGCUCUACCCGCUCGCGCUCUCGCCCCUCGUCCUCGUUUCCAUUUUUCUGUCGUCUCCCCGUUCUCCCUUCUUCUUUGCCACACAAACACACACACACACACACACACAGGGAGAACGAUAGUCACACCGAAGGCCGCAGCGCGUAAAUCUAUACAUAUCCGUCUUCUUCGUCAUUGAGUUUAUCAUUUCUCUCCUCCCUUUUUUUUUCGAGCGCGUGCUUGCGACGUGUCUGGUGGUUCUCUUCUCUCCGGCUAUCUUGCCCUUCCCCCAAGACCUCUCCGCCACUCCCCAGCCCAUCAUACCGCCCCUAUCGCCCGUUGCGAAUCCUGUCUCGGACGCGUAGAAGGGCCCCCGACCGAAGAGGAGAAGGCCAAGAACGAAAUAGAGAACGAGGGACAGAAGCAGGCCAGCGUCAGCGGUCGUGGAGUGCAUCGUGCGUCGACGUGUCUGAUUCCUUCCUUCUCUGCCCCGCACGCGCUUGAUGGAGGUUGGCAUCCUCAGCAGCGUCCUCCGGUGUUGUCUUUUGUGAGUCUCUUUCUUGUUCUCUCUGGUCGCUUCUCCCUCCUGUGCACGCCCUGUCGCUGUCGCCGUUGCGCUGGUCGCUUCUCUUUUCUCUCCGUCCUCCGUAGUACCUCCCCCCUCUCUUCGCCCAUCUUCAUUGACCUGACCUCCCUCUCUCAUUCUCUCCACAUCUCCCUUUCCUCACCUCCCUGUCAUCCCGCCCACUCCCCUUCCCCUCAUCCGUUACUCGCCCACAUUGUACGAGCUGUCGGGGGUCCCUCUCCUGCUCCUGCGCCGGAUCUCGCACGGUGAAGGCUGGCACGUGCAUCGCGCUCCUUUUCUUCCUUGGUGUUGUUCUUGCUGUUUGCACUGUGUUGCUGUCUGCAUUCAUUGCUGGCGCGGCUGCGCGCAUCACGCGACGACGCGCACGCACGUACAAGCGGCGGCACAAAAAGAGAACAGCCGAAGGUGGACCAGAACCGUAUCAAAUACGUCAACGCGUUGAGCUUAUUCUCUCCCUCUCCACGCUUUUGCACUGCAACAACGUCGCCGUUUCCACCGCCCGCUCUCCGACAACAAGCCCGCGUUACGUGUCUCUAUCGUUGAGUGCUUCACUGCCGCUGUUGCCAGAUCCUGUCCAACACGCGCUGUUCGUACCUCUUUCGCUUUCUUUUCUUCUUCUAUUGCAUUUUCUCUCGCCGUCUGUGCGCAUCUUGAUCAG